AUGGCGGCGCCGGAGGGGGAGGAGAAGGCGCCGACGGGACACCCUCUGCUCCGGGUGCUGAGGCGAGACAAAUACACGCACGGGCUCUACCCGGCGCAGAUGGAGGCGCUCCGGGCCAUGUGCGGCGCGCUCAUCCCGUCGCUGCCGCCGGAGGAGGCCCUCGACGGGCGCAGGGACACGCCACGCGACAAGGACCUCGAGCGGUUCUACCUCGCAUCCGGCGCCGACUCCACCAUUCCCGACGAGGUUGCGGAGCUGGCCUUCACCCGGUGCGUGUGGGAGGCGGGGGUGCUGGUGCACGUCACGCUCUGGCUACUGUGCACGCGGCUCGGCACGCUGGCGCUGUGCGGCCGGCUGUGCGUCUCCGGCGAGUUCCCGUACGUGCGCCGCUUCGCCGACAUGCCGGUGGGGCGGCGGGAGGAGGCGCUCAGGCGGUGGACCAAGGCGCGGUGGCUCAUCCUCGUCAAGAUCGCCUUCGCCAUCGUCAAGAGCCUCUGCUUCAACGUCUUCUACACCAAGGUGGUCGAAAACUCUGAGAACCCAUGCUGGAAAGCAACAGGGUUCAGCGUGCCGAACGUGAAAGAGCAACGAAAGAAACAUCCGACGGAAGCGACUACCCUGCGGCCUCUGGACAGCGGCGUCGUGGAGACCAGGGAGCUGGACGACGCCGCCCUGCUCACAUCACUCGCGGAGAAGGGCCUCGCGGUAAAGCCGGCCACGUCGGGCGAUUAUCACGCGGUGGAAUGCGAUGUCGCCAUCGUCGGUUCAGGCUGCGGCGGUGGCGUGGCCGCCGCGGUGCUCGCGUCCGCGGGGCACAAGGUGCUUGUCGUCGAGAAGGGAGACUACUUCACCCCCGAUGAUUACAGCUCAGUCGAGGGCCCGUCGAUGGAGCGCCUCUACGAGCAGGGAGGCAUCUUCUGCACGUCCAACGUGACGACCGUCUUGUACGCCGGCACCACCGUCGGCGGCGGCUCGGCGGUGAACUGGUCCGCCAGCAUCCGCACGCCACGGGAGAUCCUGCAGGAGUGGUCGCGCGAUCACGGGCUCCCCGUGUUCGGGAGCGCGGCCUACGUGCAGGCCAUGGACGCCGUGUGCGCCCGGCUCGCCGUGACCGACGGGUGUCGGGAGGAAGGGUUCCAGAACAAGGUGGUGCGCCGCGGGUGCGAGGCGCUCGGGCUGCCUGUUGACCGCGUGCCGCGCAACUCGUCAGAGGGCCACCACUGCGGGAGCUGCUACCUGGGGUGCCCAACCGGCGACAAGCGCGGCACCGACACGACGUGGCUCGUCGACGCCGUCGAGCACGGCGCGGUGAUCCUGGCCGGGUGCAAGGCCGAGCGCCUCAUCUUCCAGAACAAUAGCGGCAAGAACGGCCGGAGCAAGAAAUGCGUCGGCCUGGUGGCGACGUGCAUGAGCAACGGCAUCACCAAGAAGCUGCGCAUCGAGGCCAAGGUGUCCAUCUCGGCGUGCGGGGCGCUCAUGACGCCGCCGCUGCUCCGUAACAGCGGGCUCAGAAACCGGCACGUCGGCCGGAACCUGCACCUCCACCCGGUGUCCAUGGCGUGGGGGUACUUCCCGGACACGAACCAGGAGCCCCAGCUCACCGGCAAGUGCUACGAGGGCGGCAUCAUCACGAGCAUGCACCGCGUCACUGAGCGCACCAUCAUCGAGACGCCGGCACUGGGGCCGGGGGCCUUCGCCUCGUUGGUCCCGUGGGAAUCGGGCCGCGACAUGAAGGAGAGGAUGCGCCGGUACACGCGCACCGCGCACGCGUUCGCGCUGGUCCGCGACCACGCCGCGGGGAGCGUGUACGGCGAGGGCCGCGUGCACUACAGCCCGAGCCGCGGCGACAUCGAGGAGCUCCGAGACGGCCUGCGCCGCGCCCUGCGCAUCAUGGUGGCCUCCGGCGCGGCCGAGGUGGGCACGCACCGCAGCGACGGGCUGCGGCUGCGGUGCAAGGGCGUGCAGGACAAGGACCUGGAGGCGUUCCUGGACGAGGUGACCGUGGCGAGGGGCCCGAUGCAGCCGGGCACGGACACGUGGGCGCUCCUCUGCUCGGCGCACCAGAUGGGCAGCUGCCGGAUGGGCUCCAGCCCCAAGGAGGGCGCCGUCGACGGCAGAGGCGAGAGCUGGGAGGCCGAGGGCCUGUACGUCUGCGACGGCAGCCUCCUCCCGACUGCCGUUGGUGUGAACCCCAUGAUCACGAUACAGUCUCUCGCCUACUGCCUCUCCAUGGACAUCGCCGAGUCCUUGGCGUAG
Molecule: ribosomal RNA, 2256 nt
Filed under: Triticum aestivum (bread wheat)
Lineage: Eukaryota; Viridiplantae; Streptophyta; Magnoliopsida; Poales; Poaceae
Description: partial small subunit ribosomal RNA
Source: RNAcentral